This 724-nucleotide ribosomal RNA is filed under the name uncultured bacterium. RNAcentral's name for it is "bacterial SSU rRNA". It matches the Rfam family "Bacterial small subunit ribosomal RNA", at positions 28 to 776 of the family's 1533-position model. The record is from RNAcentral.
GAUGAACGCUGACACCCUUUUUAGCACAUGCAAGUCUACUUGAUCCUUCGGGUGAUGGUGGCGGACGGGUGAGUAACGCGUAAAGAACUUGCCCUGCAGUCUAGGACAACAUUUGGAAACGAAUGCUAAUACCGGAUAUUAUGUGAGUUUCGCAUGAAAUUCAUAUGAAAGCUAUAUGCGCUGCAGGAGAGCUUUGCGUCCUAUUAGCUAGUUGGUGAGGUAACGGCUCACCAAGGCGAUGAUAGGUAGCCGGCCUGAGAGGGUGAACGGCCACAAGGGGACUGAGACACGGCCCUUACUCCUACGGGAGGCAGCAGUGGGGAAUAUUGGACAAUGGACCAAAAGUCUGAUCCAGCAAUUCUGUGUGCACGAUGAAGUUUUUCGGAAUGUAAAGUGCUUUCAGUUGGGACGAAGUAAGUGACGGUACCAACAGAAGAAGCGACGGCUAAAUACGUGCCAGCAGCCGCGGUAAUACGUAUGUCGCAAGCGUUAUCCGGAUUUAUUGGGCGUAAAGCGCGUCUAGGCGGUUUGGUAAGUCUGAUGUGAAAAUGCGGGGCUCAACUCCGUAUUGCGUUGGAAACUGCCAAACUAGAGUACUGGAGAGGUGGGCGGAACUACAAGUGUAGAGGUGAAAUUCGUAGAUAUUUGUAGGAAUGCCGAUGGGGAAGCCAGCCCACUGGACAGAUACUGACGCUAAAGCGCGAAAGCGUGGGUAGCAAACAGG